UACGGAGGGGACUAGCGUUGUUCGGAAUUACUGGGCGUAAAGCGCACGUAGGCGGAUUUGUAAGUCAGGGGUGAAAUCCCGGGGCUCAACCUCGGAACUGCCUUUGAUACUGCAAAUCUCGAGUCCGGAAGAGGUGAGUGGAAUUCCUAGUGUAGAGGUGAAAUUCGUAGAUAUUAGGAAGAACACCAGUGGUGAAGGCGGCUCACUGGUCCGGUACUGACGCUGAGGUGCGAAAGCGUGGGGAGCAAACAGG
Molecule: ribosomal RNA, 253 nt
Filed under: uncultured bacterium
Lineage: Bacteria
Description: partial 16S ribosomal RNA
Rfam family: Bacterial small subunit ribosomal RNA
Source: RNAcentral